ACUUAAGUAGUUUAAUUUAUAAAACGUUGAUUUGUGGUGUCAAUAAUGCUGUUUUGCCUUUAGUU
This 65-nucleotide transfer RNA is filed under the name Anaplecta sp. 5 ZQW-2020. RNAcentral's name for it is "tRNA-His". The record is from RNAcentral. Lineage: Eukaryota; Metazoa; Arthropoda; Insecta; Blattodea; Anaplectidae.